CACAACCAUCCAACCACACCCCUAUUAGAAGGCAUGUGGGUAUUUUCGAUAUAUUCUAGUUUCAACUUCACCUUCGAUAUAUUUCUAAACUUUUGCCGAGGGUAACCUUUUCUUUUCUCUAUAUUCAAGUGAUAGGACACCUAGAGUUUUAGAAAUUAUGUCUAGGUAAAUUUUUACUUAUGGAUGUGAAGAGAUCCACGAUUAUGGUUAAGAGGUUACAAGACUCUUUUCCAUAACUCAAUCAACUUGUUACUCAUCCCG
RNAcentral lists this long non-coding RNA (261 nucleotides) under Capsicum annuum. Its description in RNAcentral is "long non-coding RNA (CANN_LNC013710)". The record is from RNAcentral. Lineage: Eukaryota; Viridiplantae; Streptophyta; Magnoliopsida; Solanales; Solanaceae.